AUUGAACGCUGGCGGCAGGCUUAACACAUGCAAGUCGAACGAGUGGCGGACGGGUGAGUAAUGCUUGGGAAACUGGCUGAUGGAGGGGGAUAACGACGGGAAACGGUCGCUAAUACCGCGUACCAUAGGAUGAGCCCAAGUGGGAUUAGUUAGUUGGUGGGGUAAAGGCUUACCAAGGCGACGAUCUCUAGCUGGUCUGAGAGGAUGACCAGCCACACCGGAACUGAGACACGGCCCGGACUCCUACGGGAGGCAGCAGUGGGGAAUUUUGCGCAAUGGGGGCAACCUGACGCAGCCAUGCCGCGUGGAUGAAGAAGGCCUUCGGGUUGUAAAGUACUUUCGGUGACGAGGCGUUAAUCACAGAAGAAGCACCGGCUAACUCCGUGCCAGCAGCCGCGGUAAUUC
Molecule: ribosomal RNA, 405 nt
Filed under: uncultured bacterium
Lineage: Bacteria
Description: partial 16S ribosomal RNA
Rfam family: Bacterial small subunit ribosomal RNA
Source: RNAcentral